Petromyzon marinus (sea lamprey) is the source of this 88-nucleotide small nucleolar RNA. The record is from Ensembl. Lineage: Eukaryota; Metazoa; Chordata; Hyperoartia; Petromyzontiformes; Petromyzontidae.
CGGGGAUACACGUGAUGAUUUCAUAGUUCAGCUGAGUGCAUCUUUGAAGAGAUUUUGAUUUGUCUUUCGCUCCUAUCUGAUAUCCCUG